CCCACCGUAGCUCAAUGGUAGAGCACUCGGCUGUAGCCCGGGACGUCGCAAGUUCGAAUCUUGCCGGUGGGA
Molecule: transfer RNA, 72 nt
Filed under: Candidatus Woesearchaeota archaeon
Lineage: Archaea; Nanobdellati; Candidatus Woesearchaeota
Description: tRNA-Tyr
Rfam family: tRNA
About the family: Transfer RNA (tRNA) molecules are approximately 80 nucleotides in length.
Source: RNAcentral